UGUACACUGCUACAUUGUAUAAGUGUACAUGUAUAAGUGUACACGUACACUGCUACAUUGUAUGUGUAUAUGUUUAAGUGUACACGUACAUUGCUACAUUGUGUAGAGUAAGGGUACAUGAUUUCGAACAGGACGUGAUUUCGUACACUAAAUAUAUUUUUUCUUAUUUUUCAACCGAUCACUUUCGAUGGAGGCAUAAAAUUGCUCCAACAGCAAACCAUUGCUAUUGUCCUUCUUCGGUGAUGCUUAAUAUAGAUUUUCCAAAUAACCUCGUUUUUAAAACGAAACAAGCGAGUAGAGUUGUCGUCUUCAGAAUGGGCCCAAUGUGACUUUAAAGCAUUAUUUAAAACAGAAUCUAGCCAAUUUUCUUGUGAUCACUUUGAGAUCAGUUAAAUAAAACAAUAUUUUACCAUUUGCAUCAAGAAGAUUUUAAAAAGAAGCUCAAAUAUAACAAAUUCAAAUUUAACGUACACGCCCACUCAAUGACAAGGCACCAAUCGUAGGGAACAGUCAUUAUUUCAAAACUCAUCUUAAAUAUUUGUUUGUUUUUGGCCUCAAAAACCUUCUAGAGCAUUGAAAUUGUUUUAUAAAACAUCCAAUGAAAUAAUUGCUACUAGAAUAUGUAUAGUUGAUAUUUUUUCCACAAAAGGGUCGAUGUCACCACCAACAAAGGACAGGUUUUUUAUAAAAAAUCAUAACUUGUUCAAAAAACAUUUCUGGUCUAUGAAAAUCGGCAAAUCUGAAUGAAAUAUAUUGAAUUCAUACGACAUAUACUUAUAUUCGAUUUAUUUACUAUGAAUAGCACAUUUGUAGAGUGUACGAAAUCACGUCCCCAACUGCUGCGAAACGUGGAAGUAAAUGAUGGUAAAAGAAAGAUCCCCUGCGCAGUAAAUUUCUGCGCAUAUGACGUCACAUUACCGAAUAUAGCGCAGAUUGCAUACAUCUUUUAGGUCAAAGUAGAUCCGUUUUUCUUGGGAUGUAUUUGAAAAAAAAUAUGUAAAUCUGUUUCAAAAGUGUACGAAAUCAGGUACCCUCACUCAAUAUGUUCAUUGCUACUCAUACACUCCUACAUUUCUACCAAACAUUACUGCUAACAGAGAAGUGGAUGUUACCACUGUCCAUGAUCCUGUUUUGUAGGUGGUGAUGUGUUGUAAUGUAAUGCAGUCCUGAUGUUACCAUUGUCCUUGAACCUGUUUUGUAGGUGGUGAUGUGUUGUAAUGUAAUGCAGUCCUGAAGAGUCAGUUACAUUUAACUCAAGUGUUCAACAAUUACUUAUCAGAAUGAUAUGUAGUAGUUUGUUUUGAAUAUGAUUUUUGUUAUCAUCAGUUGGUGCCUAUUUCAUUUACCUUUUUUAGUUAAAAUGAACAUUAUCAAUAUUUUAUAAUUGUUUUAGUUAAUUGUCAUGUUAGAUUUAUCACAUACUUUGCUAUACUCCUCAUUUUGUUUUACAGUCACCAAAUAUCAAGCCUUGCUGAGUUAGAAAGGCAUGUACAAAUAUAAAAAAUGAAGUUCAGAAAGCUUCAUCUUCAGAACUAUUGACCACUUCUGAGGUGUUGGGUCAUGCUAGUGCUCAGCUACAUUACUGGUUUCGUUAAAUUGAUCAGGCAUCCCUUGGGCAGUGGUGCUGAAUAAAUAUAUUUUUUUUGUUAAAACCUG
This 1656-nucleotide long non-coding RNA is filed under the name Mizuhopecten yessoensis (Yesso scallop). Its description in RNAcentral is "uncharacterized LOC110452999". Lineage: Eukaryota; Metazoa; Mollusca; Bivalvia; Pectinida; Pectinidae. The record is from RNAcentral.